UACGUAGGGGCUAGCGUUAUCCGGAAUUACUGGGCGUAAAGGGUGCGUAGGUGGUUUCUUAAGUCAGAGGUGAAAGGCUACGGCUCAACCGUAGUAAGCCUUUGAAACUGGGAAACUUGAGUGCAGGAGAGGAGAGUGGAAUUCCUAGUGUAGCGGUGAAAUGCGUAGAUAUUAGGAGGAACACCAGUUGCGAAGGCGGCUCUCUGGACUGUAACUGACACUGAGGCACGAAAGCGUGGGGAGCAAACAGGAUUAGAUACCCUGGUAGUCCCUGAGCGGG
This 280-nucleotide ribosomal RNA is filed under the name uncultured prokaryote. RNAcentral describes it as "partial 16S ribosomal RNA". It matches the Rfam family "Bacterial small subunit ribosomal RNA", at positions 524 to 803 of the family's 1533-position model. The record is from RNAcentral.